This 775-nucleotide ribosomal RNA is filed under the name uncultured Neocallimastigales. RNAcentral's name for it is "partial large subunit ribosomal RNA". It matches the Rfam family "Eukaryotic large subunit ribosomal RNA", at positions 23 to 634 of the family's 3401-position model. Lineage: Eukaryota; Fungi; Neocallimastigomycota; Neocallimastigomycetes; Neocallimastigales. The record is from RNAcentral.
ACACGCAUGACACACUGCAUAUCAAUAAGCGGAGGAAAAGAAACUAACAAGGAUUCCCCUAGUAACGGCGAGUGAAGCGGGAAGAGCUCAAAUUUGAAAUCUUAAAGGGUUUCCCUUUACGAAUUGUAGUUUAAAGAAGUGUUUUCUGUUGGAGUUUCGGUAAAAGUUCUUUGGAAUAGGACAUCAUAGAGGGUGAGAAUCCCGUAUUUGACCGUUACUUUCCAGCUGUGUGAUACACUCUCAAAGAGUCGGAUUGUUUGGGAAUGCAGUCCAAAGUGGGUGGUAAAUUUCAUCUAAAGCUAAAUAUUGGCGAGAGACCGAUAGCGAACAAGUACCGUGAGGGAAAGAUGAAAAGAACUUUGAAAAGAGAGUUAAACAGUACGUGAAAUUGUCAAAAGGGAAGCGUUUGACACCAGUGUUGUUUAGUUGAAAAUCAAUUCAAUAAUUUUUGAUUUUGAGUAGUAUUGACUUCAUCAGCUUGCUGCUUUCUUUUCGGAAAUUAUUGAAUGCACUUUUCAGUUAACAAGUCAACAUCAAUUUCUUUUGUUGUAAAAGGGUAAGAGGAAGGUGGCUUACGCUUCGGCGUAAGUGUUUAUAGCCUUUUACCUCUGCAAUCGGAGAGAUUGAGGACAGCAGCGUAGACUCUUCGGGGUUAGAUACACUUGUGCUAAGCUAUAGCCUUGUAUAGACAACUUGUUGACUAUGCUCAGUCAUGUAGCUUACUCGCAUGUGCUAUUUUACCUACGCUUAGGAUGUUGAACUACUGAGACAUAGA